CUUUUUCCACCUGCACUGUGAAUGUUUACAUGGUGUGUUCAAUAAAAACAUGGCAACAUUUCAUUCUUUGUGUGAUAUUAGUUUAGUUUCAAAAAGGCUUUAUUCAAACAUAAACAUUUCAGGGUUUGCCCUGAUCAAUGUACAACAGCAUGAAUCUAUAGAUUGAACAAGCAUACAAGAUAUAACGGACGCGCAGGUCCCAUCGUAGAAUGUGUGAACAUCACUCGAACAAUGUUACGUACUAUACAGAUAUGGUAUUUGAUCAUGGUUAACACGUUAGGGUAUUCAUAUGGGUGACCGGUUUGCAGCUCGAGUAGAG
This is a non-coding RNA of Pelobates cultripes (western spadefoot toad), 319 nucleotides long. Lineage: Eukaryota; Metazoa; Chordata; Amphibia; Anura; Pelobatidae. The record is from the annotation of a GenBank genome assembly.